Cercophora samala is the source of this 96-nucleotide non-coding RNA. The record is from the annotation of a GenBank genome assembly. Lineage: Eukaryota; Fungi; Ascomycota; Sordariomycetes; Sordariales; Lasiosphaeriaceae.
GCCCGCUUGGCUCAGUGGUAGAGCGUGUCACUAGUAAAUCCCUUCAACACACCUAGGUCAAUGACAAGGUCAUCAGUUCGAUUCUGAUAGUGGGCA